UAGAGUUUGAUCCUGGCUCAGGAUGAACGCUAGCGACAGGCCUAACACAUGCAAGUCGAGGGGCAUCGGGGCUAGGAGCAAUCCUUGCCGCCGGCGACCGGCGCACGGGUGAGUAACGCGUAUGCGACCUGCCCGUUGCAGGGGGAUAAUCGGGAGAAAUCCCGUCUAAUACCGCGUAAUGCCGCGGGGCUGCAUGGCCCUGCGGCCAAAGGGAGCGAUUCCGGCAACGGAUGGGCAUGCGUGACAUUAGCUAGUUGGCGGGGCAACGGCCCACCAAGGCGACGAUGUCUAGGGGUUCUGAGAGGAAGGUCCCCCACACUGGUACUGAGACACGGACCAGACUCCUACGGGAGGCAGCAGUGAGGAAUAUUGGUCAAUGGGCGCGAGCCUGAACCAGCCAAGUCGCGUGAGGGAUGACGGCCCUACGGGUUGUAAACCUCUUUUGUCGGGGAGCAAAUUCCGUUACGUGUAACGGAGUCGAGAGUACCCGAAGAAAAAGCAUCGGCUAACUCCGUGCCAGCAGCCGCGGUAAUACGGAGGAUGCGAGCGUUAUCCGGAUUUAUUGGGUUUAAAGGGUGCGCAGGCGGAAGAUCAAGUCAGCGGUAAAAUUGAGAGGCUCAACCUCUUCGAGCCGUUGAAACUGGUUUUCUUGAGUGAGCGAGAAGUAUGCGGAAUGCGUGGUGUAGCGGUGAAAUGCAUAGAUAUCACGCAGAACUCCGAUUGCGAAGGCAGCAUACCGGCGCUCAACUGACGCUCAUGCACGAAAGUGUGGGUAUCGAACAGGAUUAGAUACCCUGGUAGUCCACACAGUAAACGAUGAAUACUAAUUGUUCGGGGAGAAUGAUCCUUGAGUGAUACAGCGAAAGCGUUAAGUAUUCCACCUGGGGAGUACGCCGGCAACGGUGAAACUCAAAGGAAUUGACGGGGGCCCGCACAAGCGGAGGAACAUGUGGUUUAAUUCGAUGAUACGCGAGGAACCUUACCCGGGCUCAAACGACACAGGAAUACUUUUGAAAGGAAGUAGCUCUACGGAGCCUGUGUCGAGGUGCUGCAUGGUUGUCGUCAGCUCGUGCCGUGAGGUGUCGGCUUAAGUGCCAUAACGAGCGCAACCCCCAUCGCCAGUUACCAGCAAGUCAAGUUGGGGACUCUGGCGAGACUGCCGGCGCAAGCUGUGAGGAAGGCGGGGAUGACGUCAAAUCAGCACGGCCCUUACGUCCGGGGCGACACACGUGUUACAAUGGCAGGUACAGAGAGAAGCAAUGCGGCGACGCAAAGCGGAACUUGAAAGCCUGUCUCAGUUCGGAUUGGAGUCUGCAACUCGACUCCAUGAAGCUGGAUUCGCUAGUAAUCGCGCAUCAGCCAUGGCGCGGUGAAUACGUUCCCGGGCCUUGUACACACCGCCCGUCAAGCCAUGGAAGCCGGGAGUGCCUGAAGUGUGCAACCGCAAGGAGCGCCCUAAGGUAAAACUGGUGACUGGGGCUAAGUCGUAACAAGGUAGCCGUA
Molecule: ribosomal RNA, 1503 nt
Filed under: uncultured bacterium
Lineage: Bacteria
Description: 16S ribosomal RNA
Rfam family: Bacterial small subunit ribosomal RNA
Source: RNAcentral